UACGAAGGGUGCAAGCGUUACUCGGAAUUACUGGGCGUAAAGCGUGCGUAGGUGGUUCGUUAAGUCUGAUAUCAAAGCCCUGGGCUCAACCUGGGAAUGGCAUUGGAAACUGGCGACCUAGAGUGCGGUAGAGGGUAGUGGAAUUCCCGGUGUAGCAGUGAAAUGCGUAGAGAUCGGGAGGAACAUCCGUGGCGAAGGCGACUACCUGGACCAGCACUGACACUGAGGCACGAAAGCGUGGGGAGCAAACAGG
This 253-nucleotide ribosomal RNA is filed under the name uncultured bacterium. Its description in RNAcentral is "partial 16S ribosomal RNA". It matches the Rfam family "Bacterial small subunit ribosomal RNA", at positions 524 to 776 of the family's 1533-position model. The record is from RNAcentral.